Molecule: ribosomal RNA, 345 nt
Filed under: uncultured bacterium
Lineage: Bacteria
Description: bacterial SSU rRNA
Rfam family: Bacterial small subunit ribosomal RNA
Source: RNAcentral
GUACGCUAUUCAGAGUUUGAUCCUGGCUCAGGACGAACGCUGGCGGCGCGCUUAACACAUGCAAGUCGAACGGACCGAAUUCUUUCGGGAAAGAGGUUAGUGGCAAACGGGUGAGUAACGCGUAGGCAACCUGCCUCCCGGAUAGGGACAACGGCUCGAAAGAGCCGCUAAUACCUCAUGGCGUGUCAGAACCGCAUGGUACUGACAUGAAAGGUGCUCAUGGCACCGUCGGGAGAGGGGCCUGCGUCUGAUUAGCUAGUUGGUGAGGUAACGGCCCACCAAGGCGACGAUCAGUAGCCGGUCUGAGAGGAUGAACGGCCACAAUGGGACUGAGACACGGCCCAU